This is an RNA transcript of Melanotaenia boesemani (Boeseman's rainbowfish), 7876 nucleotides long. It is a transcript of the gene named pogo transposable element derived with ZNF domain b, with no coding region annotated. The record is from RefSeq and is a predicted model, not a curated record. The transcript is spliced from 20 exons. Lineage: Eukaryota; Metazoa; Chordata; Actinopteri; Atheriniformes; Melanotaeniidae.
CCCGCCCCCUGCACGUCGAACCACAGAGCGCCUGAAGAACUGUGCGACUGCGAACCCGUCCGAGCUCCGUGGUCUCGCUCCAGCUAAAGCAACAUGGACACGGAGUUGUUUAUGGAGUGUGAGGAGGAAGAGCUGGAGCCAUGGCAACAGGUGGACGACAGCGUGGAGGAAGAUGACAUGGACUUCAUGGAUGCCUACUGCGAGCCAGUGGAAGAUUCUCUGUCUCCUCUUCCUUCCUCCGACUCUCCGCCCCCCACGACUGUUCCCCCCAUCAUACCUGCCUCGACAGGUGACAGUGUGUGUGUGGUUCGAACAGUUACACACACCAGCUCAGUGCCAUCACCUGUUCGGAUCAUCUCCUCCUCUGUGAGGCCUCCUCCUCCCUCCAUCACCACCUCCUCCUCUUGCCCUCUCCCCUCCUCCACACCCAGUGCUUCAGCUCCGCCCCUGAUGGCUCAGGCUCCGCCCCUCAUCCUGACGCAGACGGCGGGCGGGACGUUUCUUGUCCCAGCUGCCCCCGGAACCGGCAGCACACAGUCCAUCCUGCUGACCACACAGGGCUUCCAGGUCCCGACGGUGGUGAACUCCGGCACAUCUCUGCUCCUGAACCUGCAGCCGGGCCAGACAGUGCAGCCACUCACGCUGAUCCAGUCCCCGUCUCUGGGUCAACUGGUCCGACCCAGUGUGGGCAUGUCCCCGGUCCUCCACCAGGGACAGGCUGUCCAGACCAGACCAGCCCCCACCUUCUCAGGGGGCCCCGCCAAGCCAGGCUCCGCCUUCAUGCAGCUGCCCGCCACCCUGACCCUCCGAGCCAGCACCACUGGACCGGUUAACCUCCAGGUGACCCAGGUGGGUGGAGCCAAGUCCCUAAAGCUGGCAGGUUCCCCCGCCCUCCCCUCAGGUUCAGCCAAUGGAGUCAGCCGGGUCACGGCCCCCAGCAGCGCUCCUCGCCCUGCCCCCUCUGUCACCAUGACGCCCAGCGUUACCACGGCGCCAGCAUCAGAAUCUCCGCGGGUCGUGAUGAGCGUGGAGGAGUUUUACUACGGGACGUUCGAGGGCGACCUGAGCCUCAGGAAACCCCAACCUCUGGGGAUCAAAACCUCCACCUUCACCUGCCACAUCUGCUCCCACCUGGCAGAAAACAACCUGAGGCUGAUGCAGCAUAUGUUGCAGCACUCGGAGCUGAUUGGAGGAGGCGGAGAGAGGCAGUGCUGCCGGUUCUGUUACCGUCAGUUUUCAUCUGAGACUCAGCUGCAAAGCCACCAGGACCAGGUGCAUGGCCACGCCCCCUCCUCAUGCAUGUGUCGGAUCUGUGAGUGGGCGUUUGAGAACGAGCCAGCCUUCCUGAACCACAUGAAGUCCAACCACAAACCAGGGGAGAUGCCGUACGUGUGCCAGGUGUGUUCGUAUCGCUCGUCCUUCUACUCAGACGUCCUGCAGCACUUCGCCAGCUUCCACAGAGAGUCUCGCUUCCUUCUCUGUGUCUUCUGUCUGAAAGUCACCAGAAACCCUGCUAGCUACCAGCAGCACCUGCUCAAACACCAGGCAAAUCAGGCAUUCCACUGUAACAGGUGUCGUCUCCAGUUCGUCUUCCUGAAGGACAAAAUGCAGCACAAACUGGAAAACCACCGCAGCUUCCGGAGACCGGCUAAGCUUGAAGGACUGCCGCCAGGGUCCAAGGUGACCGUCAGGACCUAUGGGAAACUAAAACCUCCAAUGACAUCAGCAGGGAGUCGUCUUCUCCAGAGCCCCACUUCCAUCAUUCAGCCAAUCAAAAUAAAGACAGACGCUCAGAAACCUCUGGUCCAUAAGAGUCCCUCAGUCCCCAGAUCCCCCAGAUCCCCGACCAAGAGGGGUUCAGGUCGUAGAGACCACGUCAGCAGGACAGCCUGUGGGGAUGGAGACCGCCUGGUCUGUCUGGAGUGUGGAACCGAUGCCUCAGAUGUAUCCGCCCACUACCCGACUCACGUCCACUGUCUCUUAUGUCCCUACAGCAGCUGCUGCUCCCGGGCCUACGCCGCCCACAUGAUCCACCACCACGUCUCUCGCUCCACAGAUAAAGUCGUCCCUCUGCACAGACUGCCUCCUCCCUGUGUGUUCCUGCUGCGCUGCUCUCAGUGCGACUUCAGGCCGCAGUCAGCUGAUCAGAUGGCCAACCACCUGCUGAUGAACCCGGAGCAUCACAGCGCCACCUGCUGGACGCAGACCUUCAUCGAACCUGAUGUCCAGUUCUGCCACAGCGUCCAGCCAUCUACAGACCUCAAGGAACCAGACCAGAACCAGAACUUAAUGGACCAGUCCUGGAGGUCGGCCAGUUGUUGGAAACAUCCGUCAGAGAGCACUGACACCCAGUUCUCCAUCCUCCCCUUCACCUGGUCUUGUGGACCCCACCACAGUCUGUCUAAGAACAGCGAUGCCAUCGACUUCUUCAGCCUGCUCUUCCCCACCGCCCUCGUAGACCUGAUCACCAGGGAGACCAACGCCCACGCCAAGACCUCCCGUUUCCUGGGUUCCUGCCCCUCGGACUGGGUCCCCGUCACCUCCCAUGAGAUCAAAGGUUUCAUUGGCCUGGUCAUCCUGAUGGGGAUCCAUAACCUGCCUGAUCCAUCCCACUACUGGUCCUGGAACCACUUCGACAACAGCUACACCUUCUACCGAGCCAUGAGCCUCAAACGCUUCAAGCAGAUAGCCGACAACAUCCGGAUGGGGAGCUUCAUCACCAAUGACUACCGUAGCACUGGUAAGCACAGCGACUCGCUGCACAUCUUCAGGCCUAUGCUGGACAUCCUGGGUGGAGCCAUGUGGAGUGCCUACCAGCCGAACUGUUGCCUGACCAUCGACCGGGCCGUGCUGCCCAGCCUGGAGGAGGAGAGCUCCCGCACCAAGGCCAACCCGAGGACCCAGCCCCAGGUGUGGCUGCUCUGUGACUCCAAAUCAGGCUACUGCCACCGCUUCUUCAUCCAGUUGGGUGAGAAUGUGGGCCAGGACCCAGGCUUCGGUGUGGUGCCAGAGCUGGUGAAGGGCCUGGAGGACAAACACCACCAGCUCUACCUGGCAAACUCCCUGACUUCCAUCCCACUGAUGCAGAAACUUCUGGGUCAGGGCAUCUAUGCCUCCAGCUCCUUCCCUCCACCCAACCCCAUCCUGCCCAGAGAGCUCUGGGAAGAGGGUCAGCUGGAGAAACCCGGGGACUUCCAGCAGAGGCAGUUUGGCCCCCUGUUGGCGACACGCUGGAAGGACAGCAAGGAGAUGGGCUGCCUGUCCACGAACGCAGCUCCAGGUGAAGCUGAUACUGUUUGGAGGCGGUCUCUAUCCAAAGUGGGUGAGCUUGACCCCAUCAGCCGGCCCAUGGCCUUCCGCCUCCUGCAGGAGAACAUGCGGGGGGUCGAUAUCUGCAAGCAGCUGCUGGCCUGUAACCCUCUGGGGGGAAUCCCCCAGGACCGACACUGGCGCAACCUGUUCUGGUUCCUGGUCAACCUGAGCAUCGUCAACGCCUUCAUCGUGCUGCGCGAGAGCCGCAAGGAGAACCCCCCCGCCUGGGUGCAGGAUGGUCUCUUCACCCAGGUCAACUUCCGCAAGCGUCUGGGCAACCAACUCGCCAAGUGUGCCCAGAAACACUUUGAGAAUGUGGAGAUUGCCAGCUCCCGCGGGGUGAGGGGCGAGAUGCCGGAGGAGCCCGUCAAACAGAGACACCGCAUGGGAAAGAUCAGCAGCAUCUCCAAGAGGUGCAAGAACUGCAGCCUGAAGAACGUCCGUCGGGAGAGCGUGUACGGCUGUGUCACCUGCAAGGCCAACCUCUGCAAGCAUCCCAGCUGCUUCUGGGAAUACCAUGGCCUGUCGCCGCUCAACAAAGGAUCUACAAAAGUUGGAUUCGUCAAGGACAGAAUAAGCGGAGCCAUGGAGGUGAUCGAGGUUUCGGACAGCGUAGACGAGGCGAUGGGUCCCGUCGAGGACUUUUCUGAUGAUGAGAAACUGGACGACCUCGAUGAUUUAGAAAAAGCUGAAAUCGUGAAAGAAGAAUUCGUCACAGAGGAUAAACAUCCAACGUCUGGGUCGCCAUCGACGACCAACGGCCAUGUCCAGCCGGCAGCCAUGUUGUCCGGUUGUAAAGAGCGUGAGGACUUCCUGUCGGUCCGCCAGCUGAGGAUUGGCCUGUUUGCUCUGUGUGAUGGACUCCGCCAGGCAUCGCGUGUCUUUUCAACAGAGACUCGGCUCAUCCGGUCUUGGCUCAAGGAGGCCCGGAGACGUUUGAAGCAAACGGAUCCGGAGCAGAAGGUCGGCGGCGGCUCGGAGCGCUUGGUUUCCUGGGUGCUGUCCAUGCGAGAACAGCAGCUUCCGAUCACGGAGACCAACCUCUUCCAUAAAGCCUCCAUGCUGAAGAAGAAGGGAGCUUUCAGUGACUCCUUCCGCAUCUCCUACGACUGGGCGGUGAACUUCCUGCUGCAGCAUCGACUUGGCGUGCGGACCGUCGCCAGAGCCGCUCCCCUGGCCUACAGCCCGCCUCCUUUUCUGGAGGCCAAGGUCAGAUCCUUCCGGGAGUUUACUCAGAGAAUCUUCCAGGUGCACCAAUUGACGGACGCCUCUGUUGGCGCGAUGGACGAACUGUGUCUGUUUGUGGACCUGAGGCUAGCUCAGGACAGGCAUCGCAGUUCAGAAGCCCUGGAGCUAACGGGGUCGGUGCCUCUGGUGACGGUCUACCUGGCGGCGCUGGCUGAUGGCUCCAUGCUGCCGUCUCUGGUGCUGACGUCCAGACCACUGCCAGUCAAAGUCCUGCCGGACUUCGUCCUGCUGCAGCCCAAUCCCGAGGGUCUGUCAGUGGAGGACACGCUGGAUCUCUGGACCUCCAAGGUUUGGCUGCAGCAUCUGUCUGUUCUGGAUCAGCCCAGGAAGUCCAUGCUGGUCUUGGACAGACACCGGGAACACUUGGGAGAUCAGUUUCUUGCCUCCAUCAGUGGAUCACGCAGCCUCCCAUCGGUGAUCCCUGCAGGCUGCUCCUUCUGCCUUCAACCUCUGGAGGUCGGCCUGAAACCAGCGCUGCAGCGCUUCCUGUUGUCUCGCUGGUCCCGGUUCACCGCCAGAAAUCCACCGGAGCUGGACGAGACGGCCCCACACCAGCUCCAAGCAAACGUGACCCAGCUGCUGGUUGACUGGCUGGUGGAGGCGCUGACACGCCUCAACCAGCUGCCCCGCCUCCUGAAGCAGUCCUUCCACCUAACGGGCAUCCUGCCGGCGUCCACUCAGACGUCCAAGGACCAAACGGCUCGGAAACCAGAGGACAUCCAGUCAGAACUCCUCAAGAACAUCACAGAGAUCCUCCUGGGAGCGGAAGCAACAGAAAUGGACUCACCUGAUGUCCUAGAACUGGAGGACGAAGACGAGACAGAGGAUGGACAACAUGGAGAGGAAGAACAGGACACCAAAGAUGAAGGGAUGGAAGUAGAGGAGACGAGAAAGGACAGAGCAGAGAUGGCCGAGGAUAGGAUGGACACUAAUGAUGAAGGUAGGCCAGGGGACAAGGACAAGGAAGGAAAGAUGACAAUAAAUGACAGGGAUGAGAACAUGGAGGACAGUGGAGAGAAAGAAGACAGGACAGAGGAAACUAAGAGAAGAGAGGAAGACAGAAGGCAGGGAGAAACGACAGAGGAGGACAGGACGGAGGAUGAGAAGGAGAUAGAGGAUGACAUGAAGGAGGAAAGAAAGAGGACAGAAGAGGACAGGAAGGAGGAAUCUAGGGCAAUAGACAGGAAGGAGGAAGAGAAGAUUGAGGAGGACAGUGAGGAGGAAGACAAGGAGACAGAAGAGGACAGCAAAGAAAGACGAGAGACCCGAAUCGUGAUCGGGGAGGAAGUCGGGGACGAGUGGAAGAUAACGAAGAGUCGGGCUGAAGGUGUGGAGGCUGAUGAAGACGACGACAGGAUGGACGAGAGCUGAGCAGACAAUGAUGAAGGUCGUAAUUGUCUCAAAAAGAUGUCUUUUAGGACAUUUAGGCCUUGUGUGGUUUUCUGAGACUUUAUUGAUCAUUCUGAGUCCACGUAAAGAAGUUAUGGACUCAGCUGGACCAGAACCUGGAUGAAACUGGACUCUGAAAUCAGACAGUAAAGAUUUUCAGUUUGAUCUGAGCUCCACCUGCUGGAACUGUUGUCAUAGAAACCAGACUGGCGGUGUUUUACAGUCACAUGAUGCGUUGUCUUAUAGUCGGCAGGUCAGACCCUGGUGGUCCUGCCAGUCCUCUGAUGGUGGAGGUUUGAUCCAAGUUGUAUUUCUGGGGAUUGAAUCUAGUUUUCUGUGAUUAAGUUGAAGCUCCGCCUCCAGAUCAGCCAAUCAGAGUCCACAACCAGCUUUCUAAGCAGGCAAAUGUUGGCGGAGCUACAUAGUAAAGAUCAAAAGGAAGGUUUGAAGUUGGAAAAAGUUCAGAGGCCACAAGGUGCUCACCUGGUCAUCACCUGGUCAUCACCUGGUCAUCACCUGGUCAUCACCUGGAGCCUCAUUUAUCAACCUGAGCGUAGCAAAGCAAACUACAGGCGGCGUCUGCGGCGCACUUUUACCUUCAGAUUUAUCAAAGCGUGCACACGCACGUCCUCCACCUGUUUCCGUUUAUAAACUAGAACUAACUCUAAAGCGGUGCAGGGGAGGGUCGCCUUGGUGGCUAUAAAAGGUCAGGUGGACGCCUGUAAUACAUAUUCAUCACAUCAUUUCCAUGGUGGCUCGGGAGGGAAAAAGAGGGAAGAAGUGGAAUUUUUCGGGGUGUGAGACAGAGAUCCUGAUGGACCACGUUGGAAAAGGUAAAAAUGUGUAACUGGUGGACACGGCGUGGACGUUACUGGUGUCAGAAAGACAGAAUAGUGGCAGCAGGUGGAGACGCUGUCAUCACCAGAGGAGUCGGAUCGUACAGAUGGAUAUCAGUCGGUAAAACAUCCGUCUGUCAUGCAGGAGAUGGAAGUUCGAACCACAGAGGGGUGAACAGUAAAACCUUCCAGUCGGGUCUUUGGCGAGACGCUGCAGCCCACAGUAGAUGGUUGUGGAGAAAAGCUGCUAGAUGACAGUAAUGAUGGCGUUCCUGGUGUUCCAGCUGGGUGGGUGGGGCUGCAACUGGGUGGGUGGGGCUGCAACUGUGGGUGGAGAGGGUGAGGCCAGAGACUCCACCCAGCAGCCGUGUCCUCAGAGGAAGUCCUGCAGGUGCAGAGGGAACCAUCACCGCUGUUAACCAGGUGGACAUGAAGCUGUGGGAAAUGGAGACUGGCUGGACAGAAACUGGGACAAUUAUAAAAGGAUUGUGUAAGAAUAAAUAGAUUAAUAAAGGAAAUCCACCUCUAGUGUGUUUUUAUCAGCGUUGCAUCACUUCUAGACCUCCAGUCUGUCCCCCUGCUGGACCUCAGAAUAAAUGACCAAAGCUUCCUUCUCACAUCUUCUUUUACUGACUGGUGAAUGUUGGCAGCAGACUCUCCACCUCAUCAUCUCCUUCAUUUUAUUCUGGUUUCCAGUUUCCAGGUUUCCCAGAUUUUAUUCGUACAUCAGGGUCAGAGUUGCCGUGGGGGUAGGAAUUGCCAUUUAAAUUGCGUUGUUCCCACGCCAGCUUUAGAAAUGAGGCCCUGGUUGUUUCCAAGCUGCACUACAUCCUGGUCCUCCAUCAUUGUCUGAAUGAAGGACCAGGAUACUGGAACUCCGGUCUGAGAUCUGGAAUUAGUCCACUUAAAUACAUCUGAUGCUAAAGUCUAGAAGCUGAUUGGCUGGUCUGGAGCAUGAUGUCUGAAACAUGGCAGUUAAAUAAGUCACAUGACCUGAUGAUGAUGAUUAAUUCUUCCUGUUUUUGUUGUAACUGUGCAGAUGAAGAUGAGAGAAAACGCGACAUCCUGAGAAAUAAAAACCUUUUUAAUUU